GCUUGAUGGUAAGAUUGUGGUUCAUGAAUUGUAGACACAUUUGCUAUGAAAUUCACAUAAUGAUGAUUAUACUCAGGCUGAGAAAUAAAAUGAAGUUUAUGAGGUGAAUUUAUGAUAUCUGUAAUGUCCUUGGAAGUGCUAGCAAGUGGAACAAUAGUAGGACUAUCUUCCUGAACAUGUGUGUCACAAAAUCAUCCAACCAUCUAGGUUUUGUAGUAGGUCUUGUGCCUCUUCCGGAAGGCAUAUUAGGAGUUAUAUGCGGUUGAAUAAUAUCAGAAUGAGAUGUAGUAGAAGGAUCAGUAUUUGUGGUAAUUGAUCUAGUAGUAAUUCUUAUUGUCUCUUCUAACUGUAGAGGAAUAGGUUGAGGAGUGACAGAUUCAUUUUCAAGAAUGGGCAGAGGAAUGACAUUUUCACUUGUU
Molecule: unclassified non-coding RNA, 419 nt
Filed under: Hevea brasiliensis (rubber tree)
Lineage: Eukaryota; Viridiplantae; Streptophyta; Magnoliopsida; Malpighiales; Euphorbiaceae
Source: RNAcentral